GAAACCAACAGGGAUUGCCUCAGUAACGGCGAGUGAAGCGGCAAAAGCUCAAAUUUGAAACCCUCGGGAUUGUAAUUUGAAGAUUUGGCAUUGGAGAAAGCUAACCCAAGUUGCUUGGAAUAGUACGUCAUAGAGGGUGACAACCCCGUCUGGCUAACCGUUCUCCAUGUAUUGCCUUAUCAAAGAGUCGAGUUGUUUGGGAAUGCAGCUCAAAGUGGGUGGUAAACUCCAUCUAAAGCUAAAUACUGGUGAGAGACCGAUAGCGAACAAGUACUGUGAAGGAAAGGUGAAAAGAACUUUGAAAAGAGAGUGAAAUAGUAUGUGAAAUUGUUGAUAGGGAAGGAAAUGAGUGGAGAGUGGCCGAGGUUUCAGCCGCCCCUCGUGGGCGGUGUACUGCCGACGCCGAGUCAUCGAUAGCGAGACGAGGGUUACAAAUGGGAGCGCCUUCGGGCGUUCUCCCCUAACCCUCCACACUGCCACCGACGA
This 486-nucleotide ribosomal RNA is filed under the name Yarrowia lipolytica. Its description in RNAcentral is "eukaryotic LSU rRNA". It matches the Rfam family "Eukaryotic large subunit ribosomal RNA", at positions 61 to 509 of the family's 3401-position model. The record is from RNAcentral. Lineage: Eukaryota; Fungi; Ascomycota; Dipodascomycetes; Dipodascales.